This 61-nucleotide transfer RNA is filed under the name Bathynella cf. rufa JHS-2017. RNAcentral's name for it is "tRNA-Ile". Lineage: Eukaryota; Metazoa; Arthropoda; Malacostraca; Bathynellacea; Bathynellidae. The record is from RNAcentral.
AAUAAGAUGCCUGAAAAAAGGACUAUUUUGAUGUGAUAGAUUAUGUUAACAACUCUUAUUU